ACAUGGCAGAUGAGGACCCCACCCUCAUGGAACUGGCCUUCCAGGGUGAUGGGAGAGAGACGAUAAGCAGGCCAACAAUAACUUAUAAUGCCUGGGGUUUCCAAUAACAAAGGCCGUGGCAUCCAGAGGACAUGUUCUUACUGCUGUGUUGGGGUCCUUCCAGCGGAGCCUGAUGUACCCCCACCUGGCCUGGAGAUGCUGAGCUCACGUGAGGGUUAUUCGCGGACCUGGGCUGAAACUCCUGUUGUGUGGUUUGCUCUGGUCUAAGGCUCGCUUCAUCUGCUGCUUGUAUUAGCAAGCAAUAUUGGACUACCGUGACCCCUGCACUUUUAUCUUUCUUGGCAGAGAAGAUCGCCAGCCGUCUGAAAGACUGCCAGCUACCUAAUUACACCGAAGACAGCGAGAAAAAGAAAACCAUUUUGGACUAUCAGUAUUCACCUUGGCUCUGCAGCUUCCCUUUAAACAACCAGUGUACACAAACUCAACAAGUACUUGAUGACAAUCCACAGUGGGGCCAGCUCUAUGAGUUGAGGACAGUGAGUAGGUGCAAGAAAGCUACAAGUUGUGGAUUGACUUUGAUGCAGAAACACUUUUUGGAAGGAGUGGGGUGAGAAAGUUCCUCAGAUAAUUUUGAUCUGGACCCCUGAUGGAAGACCCACUGAUCCUGGGGCUGGGCACAAAGCAGCCCAGCUACUUUUGAAGUGGGCUGCCUGAAAUUUUGUCCCACACGGGUGUCGUAUAUCAUGUGGUAGCAUGCUGACUCAAUCACAGGCACCCACUUUGGGAAACAUUAACUAUAAUUGUACAUGGAGAAUAAAUACAAGGGCCUUUUAACAGAAGUUUUCAUGGUGGACUGCUGAUCCAACUCCUUAGGUGCUGCUGGUCCACUCAAUGAAAUCUUGUUUCCUGUGAUUACAUGGGAUUUAUUUUGUGAACAGCUUUCCUGCUGAGCCUCAGACUGGACAAAUUUGAGAAGCUCUAUUUUCGUAUCAUGGGUUCCUUGGGCCAAACCAAAGUCUACCAAUGCGUACCUAAGACAGACAAAAUAGGCUCCAGGCCUGGAGUGGACCCCAACUCGAGGCCUAAACUCAGGACCCUGAGAUCAAGACCUGAGGUGAAAUCAAGAGUCAGAUGCUUAACUGAGCCACCUGGGUGCCCCUCAGAAGACAUCUUUGAAGUGGUGCCACUCUUGCUCAAAUCAGAAAGAAGAGAGGACACUGGAAAACCACUGAAGGAUUUUAAGGGAUGGAACUAACAGUAUACAAUUUACAUUAUAUAUAUACACACACACACACACAAAUUUUUAUACUUUAAAAAUCACUCUGGCUGUUUUGUUAACGAUGGGUUUCAGGGGGAAAGAGAAGCAGCAGCCUAGUUUAGCAAUCUAGGCUCGGUCUGAGGUAGUGGUUGAGAAGACAGAAAAACAUGGAUGGAUUUUUAGAUAUAUUUUGGAGGUAAAAUGGCCAAGACCUGAUGAUUGAUGCCAAAAUGAGCAGAUAAAAUAGGCUGUUGCAAUAGGGGUUUUUGGGCAGGCAAAGGAGUAUUAAAAUUUAGUUUACAGAAUAUGUUUGAGAUAUUUAUUAGGUGCUCAAGUGGGUAUGUCAAAUCAGCAGGUGGGUAUAUACAAAUCUGCAGGUAAGAGGUCUGAGGCAAGACACAUACUUAUGGGAAUCCUUACCAUACAUUGAAAGCCACAUGGAAAUACAUACUACCUACAGAAGAGUCCGGAGCAAGAAAGCCCAAGAUCAGGCACUCCAACAUUUAGACGUCAGGUAGAAGAAGAAGAACUGGCCAAAGGAUACUGAAAAUGAAAAGCCAAAUAAAGCAGGAAGAAAACAAGGAGUGUGUGGCAGUACAGAAGUCAAAAGACAAUGGUUCUAGGGCGCCUGGGUGGCUCAGUCGUUAAGCGUCUGCCUUCAGCUCAGGUCAUGGUCCCAGGGGU
Non-coding RNA from Leptonychotes weddellii (Weddell seal), 1942 nucleotides. Lineage: Eukaryota; Metazoa; Chordata; Mammalia; Carnivora; Phocidae. The record is from RefSeq and is a predicted model, not a curated record.